Molecule: long non-coding RNA, 761 nt
Organism: Leptidea sinapis
Lineage: Eukaryota; Metazoa; Arthropoda; Insecta; Lepidoptera; Pieridae
Exons: 5
Source: RefSeq, a predicted model, not a curated record
AGAAGGAUUCACUCGAAUCCAAAGAAGAGAUGGAAAAGGAAGGAGAGGUAAUACCUGUAGAUGGAUUUGAUCUAACUAAUGAUGAAAUCAAAUUAUUUCAUAUUUGGCCAGGAGGAGUUAUACCUUACUACAUCGAUGAUUACUCAUUCGAUAAAGUAUUACGGGACAGGAUACGUUCCUUUCUCGACUACACUAAUCAUGCUACUUCACUAAAAUUUAUCGAGUUACCACGACCGCCUGAAGAUGAAUCUAGUAGAUGGGUUUUCUUUCUUAAUCGUCAAGGUCUACUAGGUUGCACUGAUCAUCCGUAUCAAAACUUCUCAGAAACAGGAAUACAGAAAGUUGUGCUAGGUUAUAAUUGCAUUAGUGAUGAGGCAUUAGCAGAAAUAGUGUUGUCUCUUGUAGGAGUUCCACCGCAACAUAAUGCACCAAACAGAGAUGAUUACAUAGUAAUUAAUGCUGACAAUAUAUUACCAGAUAAGAAGGCGUUAUUUGAUAAAUUAAAGGAUAACGAAUGGUUGUUUCAUGACAUUGAUUAUGACUUCAUAAGCGCUGGUCAUUUUGGCACUCAUAAACAUACAAUUAAUGGAGGUGCUACGAUUGUUCCAAAGAGUGAGAAUUUGCAAAUACAUAUUGGUGGAGGCAAAGGUUUUAGCUCGGAUGACAUUCAUAAAAUAAAACUUCUCUAUAGUUUUAUUUCAAAAUAUAAAAGAAAUCAAGAAAUAAGAAGUUCAAAGUGUAAAAAAAUGUUUGAGGUAGGU